This is a long non-coding RNA of Lucilia sericata (common green bottle fly), 1028 nucleotides long. RefSeq lists it as uncharacterized. The transcript is spliced from 2 exons. Lineage: Eukaryota; Metazoa; Arthropoda; Insecta; Diptera; Calliphoridae. The record is from RefSeq and is a predicted model, not a curated record.
CAUACACUUCGUUUGUUUCAUUAGUUGCUUAACUAAUGGGUGCUCGUACAGACUCGAAAUUUUUCUAAACGGUGUUGAACAGACAAAGUGUGUGUGUUUAUAUUAAAUAAAAUUUUGAAAAAAUAAAUUCUAUGUAUUGUAUAAAUUUGAAAAUCAAUUUUAGCUUUUUGUGUAACUAAAAUAUAAAAAUUAAAAAAAAUAUACAAUAGUAUUUUGAGGCCUGUUUGGCGCCAUAAAAAUUGACUGGAAUUUUCAAAAAAAGAAGAUGUGCUAAUUUUCUUUGUACAUGUUUUAAAGAUAGAAUUUUAAGUGUUUUUGUGCUAUUUUUAAAUUCGAGUUGAAGUGGUUGAAUUUAUAGUUAUUUGUAUAUAAAACUAUAAAUAUAUCUUUUAUGUGAUUUUUUUUUCGCUUGCCAAUAAAAAAAGACAAUUUUCAUUAUUGGAUAUAUUAAAGGCAAAAAUUAAAAGCUCAUUUUUGCGCUGUUUAAGAAAAAGUACGACCAAACAUAAGAUAAAUACAAAAUUUACAAUAAAAUCUAAACGAAAAGAGGAAAAUCUAAACAGAACAAGAAAAUUUAAACGUAACGGCCAAUUGCCAACAAAUUAAAACAACAACAAGAGCAGCAGCAAUAAUAACAAAACGGCAAAACAAACAAAAAUCACACAAAAACAAAAAAAAGAAAAACUAAAAUACAAAAACAAACAACACGAUUUAUAACAAAUAAUAACAAUAACAACAAAAACUAUAAAAUAGAGAAAAUAGAACAUCGUAUCUAAACAAAUCGUUUGAAUUUUGCUUGCCUUCGUUUUUAAUGUUAUUGUUAUAGAGCAAACACAAUAACAACAGCAGCAACAACAGCAACCAAUUUGAGUUCGUUCAUUCUUGCACUAAACAAGCCCAACAACCAGCAGAGACAAAUCAAAACAAUUUAAACCAGGGAGCGAUUAGGCACCGUUAGAUUGCUCUCUACCUUUAAACACUAAGUAAAAGAAGAAGCAGCAGUACAUCGACAACAACAACAACAAGAA